AAGAAAAAGUGUGAUUUUUCAAGGAAUCAAGUGUUUAAAGGUGGUGAGCUAUCUGAUACGGGUAAAAGACUACACCCGAGGAUCGAGAAUAGGAGUAUAUCUACUCCUAGUACAGCUCAGAAUAGGCAGUAGACUGUCAAUUGCAUCGAGAAGU
RNAcentral lists this small RNA (154 nucleotides) under Theobroma cacao (cacao). RNAcentral's name for it is "sRNA Tc01v2_g014790". The record is from RNAcentral. Lineage: Eukaryota; Viridiplantae; Streptophyta; Magnoliopsida; Malvales; Malvaceae.